UCAGUGUUUGAUUAUUCAGGUCUGCCUCGAGAACCUGGAAGUAGUGUUCAGACAGAUACACUGAUCAUCUGUCUGCAGCUCAUCUUCUGCAACAUUGCGAGCCCCACAGGUGUCGAGCUCUCCAUGGAUCCAGGCGGUGUUGACCAGCUCAUCCUUGGGUCUAGAGGGCUUCAAAGCUCACUCCGUCUUCCAGGAGAUCAGUAGAAAGCUGCAUGAUGUAUGAGAAGCCCUGUUCAGUUCAGUUCAUUCAUCUGAGUUCAGUGUUAAAGCCUCUUAACACCUCGACAUCCCUACUCAAGGCUACAGCAGGAUCGAUGUAAAUCUGUGUUAUUUCCCAGCUUUAAUCAUGUCAGCAGGGAUCCUCUGUCAGGUUUCAGGCUGCUGUCAAAGGGUUUUAUUCAGACUACAAAGUUGCUGGGUGCUGAAAGGAUCGUCUUUUCAUUAAACACAAUCCCUCGGUUUUAUCUAGAUGAUCCUUUUCAUGCCAUUUCACGUACAUCACAUACUCUUUUAAGGUGUUUGGUGAUGUGUGUCAAUCCCCUUCCCCAAACUGCUCUUUCAUAACCUGGGUAUAUUAUAAAUCGAACCAUGACGGCAGGGGCAGAUCUAGAAAAAUAUUGAUGGGGUGGCGAGAAGGGGGCAGGAAUUUUUGAGGGGCGGCAACAUAUGGCAGACGUAUAUAUACUGAAUUUAGUCACAGUUAUCACAGUUUGAUGAUAAAUAUAUGUGCACACUACAAAAGGACACAGGCUAUCAUUUACAAAUUUAAUCUCAUGCAAUCAAUGUCUUGCAUUUGAAACAGUUCAUAUAAGGAAUAAGUGACCAUACCCCAUAAGCACCACCACACUCACUAAUGCAUACAGUAUGCAUUGACUAUACCUACUUAUAUUUAACCAUAUUAUUACAACAUGUUCCUGUUAUGUCUGUAAAGCUGCUUUGAAACAAUCUGUAAAAAAAAAAAAAAAAAGAACAAAAGCGCGUGUUCAGCUCACAUUAAAAACGAGUUAAAAACAUCUAAACUUUUCAGAAUGCAGCAAGCGCACCGCGGGUCAUGUGACAAGAACUAACCAAUCAGCUUCGUCCUUUCCCGUAACAACGUUUAAAACUGAGCCAAGAUGAAGGAACAGCUGUUCAAGUUCAUAUAGCUGUAUAUGAAUUGCCAUUUUGAAAUAAAUUUAGUAGCAGAGCUACUGCGAGCGAUUUUUUUCUGCAAAUCCAUUUAUCUUUUGCUGAAAUUUCCACGUCUUCAUGGAGAGAGCACAUCAUGGUUGCUUAGCAAAGGCAGACGCUUCAGGGGCGCUUGUGCCCGAGCGCUUUGGAGAAGGAAAAAGCGGCGCGCCCACUGAUCUAUAUAUAUAUUAUAGAUCAGUGGGCGCGCCUAGCGUUUUACACGCGUUUUUAGGCGCGAUAUGUGAACGGCCCCUUACGCGGUCAUUAUGUGGGAAACACUGCAGACAUAUUUGGAAUAAGAUAAACGCUAAAGUUAUAGUUUGACCUCUUAUUAACGUUAGCGUUCUUCCACUGAUAAACAUGGUAUUAGCUUUGUGGCUAAUCUAAUAUAGCAAUGCAUUAGCGGCUGUAAGUGAUGUUACAGAAUAUUUAGAAGUGAUAAUGAUAGGACCAUUAGUUAGAACUACCACACCAUUUUUAUAUACAGUGUAUGAACUAAAUCAUCUCACAUGACGAAUGACAGACUCACCUUAUAAACAGUACAUCUCUUGUGGCUUGGCUGAUCGCUUUCUUCUAUAGUGGAGUUGCAGACUCUGCAACUGCGGAGCUCCCUCUGGUGGGCAAACUAUUCAACACUCAUAACAUGAGUGAAGCAUGAGACUCUGUUUCUCAUGUUUGGCCGAUGCCGAUUUAAAUGCAAUAAGCUCAUAUCGGCCGAUAAUAUCGACCAGCCGAUAUAUCGGUCGGGCUCUAAUUAAAAAUGUAUAGGUGUGCAUUGUAGCUGACACCUAAAUGAACACAUUACAAUUACAAUCUCCUCAGAUGCUAUUGAGAUUCAAAUUUGCGUUUGAGCCCAUGUGAAAGAGUAGCAUAAUUUACAUAUGAUUUACAGAUUAUUUUAAUAAAUAUCAAACAUUUAAUUCAAUUGUGCAUUAUAGCUGACACCUACAUGAACAAUUACAGUUGUUUUUAUGACUAUAAGUCAUUCUCCUCAAAUGCUCUGACGUUAGAAAAGUGUAUACCAAUAUCGGGCCCCAGGAUGUCUUCAUGACAACAAUAUCUAUACUUCAUGUUGAGCAUAAAUAUAAAGCCUAAAGGACAUCGUCAACAGUAUUGACAGCAAAAUAGACUAUGUUUGACAGGUGCAAUUUUUGAAAAUUUAUAAGUAUUAAUUUAUUUUUUAAAUUACAUAUCUGAAUAUAUGUCAGAGUUAUGAGCGGGUUCGCGAAUCAUUUGAGUCAGUUCGGGAGUUCGUAGCGGAAUCGCGAAUCAUUUGAGUCAGUUCGGGAGUUCGAAGCGGUAUCGCGAAUCAUUUGAGUCAGUUCGUGAGUUCAAAGCGGAUUCGCGAAUCUUUUGAGUCUGUUCGGGAGUUCAAAGCGGAUUCGCGAAUCAUUUGAGUCAGUUGAUUGCGAAUCAUUCGAAUCAGUUCGGGAGUUCGUAGCGGGAUCGCGAAUCAUUUGAGACAGUUUGGGGAUUGCGAAUCAUUUGAAUCAGUUCGGGAGUUCGUAGCGGGAUCGCGAAUCAUUUGAGUCAGUUUCGGGAGUUCAAAGCGGAUUCGCGAAUCAUUUGAGUCAGUUGAUUGCGAAUCAUUUGAAUCAAUUCGGGAGUUCGUAGCGGGAUCGCGAAUCAUUUGAGUCAGUUUCGGGAGUUCAAAGCGGACUCGCGAAUCAUUUGAGUAAGUUUGGGGAUUGCGAAUCAUUUGAAUCAGUUCGGGAGUUCGUAGCCGGAUCGCGAAUCAUUUGAGUCAGUUUGGGGAUCGCAAAUCAUUUGAAUCAGUUUGGAGCGGGAUCGCUAAUGUGUCGUCAUCAUGACGUUUUCCCAGUGGUGAACGCAAAGCAUUUUGGGAAUCCGCGGCACAAACAUUAGGUGCUAGACUUCUUUGCAUGAGGGAAGAACGCAGUGUUCAAGAUGCUGUCUACCUGUCCUGCUGUGUUAUAAACUACCAUAGUCGUUCUCACGAUAGAAGUGGCAUAAAGCUUAAGAAUGGAAUAUCCUUUUAUCGUUUUCCAGCGUGGAAAAGUAAUAGUACAAGCCAUGUUUCAGAGGUGACAAAAAGGCGACGAAUGGCUUGGAUAGCAGCGGUAAGGAGGCCAAGGUUACCUUCGAUAACACUCCACCACACAUGAUGGUGUGUUCAAAGCAUUUUCACAAAGACACUACACCUGCACCUGAGAAGGAAGGUCCUGUGAAUAAACCUCCAUCGCCAGACACUGUCCACACCGGUCAUGAGACUGAGCUGAAGACUUUGCUGGAUAAUAUUGUGUUUGUGUGCUGUGCUUUGACCAAUAUGUGUCCAAGUAUUGUUGUGUAGGCAUCAUGUUAGAAUUAUACACCAUGCUCACAUCUAAUAUGUAAUUCUUUUGUUUGUUUGUUUUCUAAAAAAAGAUAUUGUAAUGUCUCUUCUCACAUGUAAUGUUUUUUUUUUAGCCAUGUCUGUA
This is a long non-coding RNA of Carassius gibelio (silver crucian carp), 3608 nucleotides long. RefSeq lists it as uncharacterized. Lineage: Eukaryota; Metazoa; Chordata; Actinopteri; Cypriniformes; Cyprinidae. The transcript has 3 exons. The record is from RefSeq and is a predicted model, not a curated record.